Athene cunicularia (burrowing owl) is the source of this 333-nucleotide long non-coding RNA. RefSeq lists it as uncharacterized. The record is from RefSeq and is a predicted model, not a curated record. NCBI's taxonomy places the organism in Eukaryota, Metazoa, Chordata, Aves, Strigiformes, Strigidae. The transcript is spliced from 2 exons.
UACAUAUCUAACUAAAUUUGAUGCCUGAAAGGAGGCAACUUAAUCUCCGUGGUAAUGGGAAAACUAAUGAGAAGAAACUAUUUCUGAAAACAGUUUUUUCAUAAAUGCUGUAGUCAUCCAAGCACACCCUGACACUAAACAGGAUUCCCAAUGAGAUACAGCUCUGGAGGACAGCAAGAAAAGGACACUUCAGCAACAUCUAGCAUGCUCAUCUCCCCAGGUUCCCUAAAUAAGAUCACAAAAAAGCAGGAUAAAAAUCAGAUGGAGUCCAUACAGGUUUAGGAGAUGGAAGUGAUUUCUCUUCCAUGUUGAAGCACUAUGGACACAAAGACU